RNAcentral lists this non-coding RNA (30 nucleotides) under Rattus norvegicus (Norway rat). Lineage: Eukaryota; Metazoa; Chordata; Mammalia; Rodentia; Muridae. The record is from RNAcentral.
UGACACAUAUGCAGAGCUUCUUGGUACACC